Molecule: ribosomal RNA, 464 nt
Filed under: uncultured bacterium
Lineage: Bacteria
Description: bacterial SSU rRNA
Rfam family: Bacterial small subunit ribosomal RNA
Source: RNAcentral
AUGAACGCUGGCGGCGUGCCUAAGACAUGCAAGUCGUACGAGAAAAUUCCUUCGGGAAUGAGUAAAGUGGCGCGCGGGUGAGUAAGACUUAGGUAACCUGCCUCCUCGCUGGGGAUAACCAGGGGAAACUCUGGCUAAUACCGAAUGACCCGGCCGGAACUGCGGUUCUGGUUGGGAAAGCCGCAAGGCGUGAGGAGAGGGGCCUGAGCCCCAUUAGCUAGUUGGUCGGGUAACGGCCUACCAAGGCAACGAUGGGUAGCUGGUCUGAGAGGAUGAUCAGCCACACUGGUACUUAAAUACGGACCAGACUCCUACGGGAGGCAGCAGUUAGGAAUUUUGCGCAAUGGGCGAAAGCCUGACGCAGCAACGCCGCGUGGGUGAGGAAGGCCUUCGGGUUGUAAAGCCCUUUCGACGGGGAAGAAAUCAAUGACGGUACCCGUGGAAGAAGCACCGGCUAACUCCGU